Molecule: ribosomal RNA, 497 nt
Filed under: uncultured bacterium
Lineage: Bacteria
Description: partial 16S ribosomal RNA
Rfam family: Bacterial small subunit ribosomal RNA
Source: RNAcentral
GAUGAACGCUGGCGGCGUGCCUAAUACAUGCAAGUCGAGCGAACGGACGAGAAGCUUUCUUCUCUGAUGUUAGCGGCGGACGGGUGAGUAACACGUGGAUAACCUACCUAUAAGACUGGGAGAACUUCGGGAAACCGGAGCUAAUACCGGAUAAUAUUUUGAACCGCAUGGUUCAAAAGUGAAAGACGGUCUUGCUGUCACUUAUAGAUGGAUCCGCGCUGCAUUAGCUAGUUGGUAAGGUAACGGCUUACCAAGGCAACGAUGCAUAGCCGACCUGAGAGGGUGAUCGGCCACACUGGAACUGAGACACGGUCCAGACUCCUACGGGAGGCAGCAGUAGGGAAUAUUCCGCAAUGGGCGAAAGCCUGACGGAGCAACGCCGCGUGAGUGAUGAAGGUCUUCGGAUCGUAAAACUCUGUUAUUAGGGAAGAACAUAUGUGUAAGUAAAUGUGCACAUCUUGACGGUACCUAAUCAGAAAGCAACGGCUAACUACGUG